AACGCGAAGAACCUUACCUGGGCUCGAACGGCUUAAGAUCGACCGUGGAAACAUGGUUUUCCCGCAAGGGACUUGAGUCGAGGUGCUGCAUGGCUGUCGUCAGCUCGUGUCGUGAGAUGUUGGGUUAAGUCCCGCAACGAGCGCAACCCUUGUCCUGUGUUGCCAUCAUUUAGUUGGGCACUCUCAGGAGACCGCCAGCGAUAAGUUGGAGGAAGGUGGGGAUGAUGUCAAGUCAUCAUGGCCUUUAUGUCCAGGGCUACACACGUGCUACAAUGGACGGUACAAACCGCUGCAAACCCGCGAGGGAGAGCUAAUCGGAGAAAACCGUUCUCAGUUCGGAUCGCAGGCUGCAACUCGCCUGCGUGAAGCUGGAAUCGCUAGUAAUGGCGUAUCAGAACGACGCCGUGAAUACGUUCCCGGGCCUUGUACACACCGCUCGUC
RNAcentral lists this ribosomal RNA (441 nucleotides) under uncultured bacterium. RNAcentral describes it as "bacterial SSU rRNA". It matches the Rfam family "Bacterial small subunit ribosomal RNA", at positions 958 to 1398 of the family's 1533-position model. The record is from RNAcentral.